AGACCAGUAUGAAUGGCAAGACGAAAGUUCAACUGUCUCCCUAAAUUAAUCAAUGAAAUUGAUUUUUCCGUGCAGAAGCGGAAAUAUAAUUAUAAGACGAGAAGACCCUAUGGAGCUUUAAACAUAUGAUCAUUGCGUAACAUAGCCCAAAAUGAAAUAUUUAAUAAAACAUCAUGAUCAAAAUUUUAGGUUGGGGCGACCACGGAGAAAAACAAAACCUCCGAGAUGAAGAGAAUAUCUUAAUUCAAGAAUUACAAUUCUAAAAAAUAAAAUAUUUAACAUAAUUGAUCCAAUAUAUUGAUCAACGAACCAAGUUACCCUAGGGAUAACAGCGCAAUCCUCUCCAAGAGUCCCUAUCGACGAGCGGGUUUACGACCUCGAUGUUGGAUCAGGACACCCCAAUGGUGCAGCCGCUAUUAAAGGUUCGUUUGUUCAACGAUUAAAGUCCUACGUGAUC
RNAcentral lists this ribosomal RNA (457 nucleotides) under Hynobius kimurae (Hida salamander). RNAcentral describes it as "partial large subunit ribosomal RNA". It matches the Rfam family "Bacterial large subunit ribosomal RNA", at positions 1984 to 2605 of the family's 2925-position model. The record is from RNAcentral. Lineage: Eukaryota; Metazoa; Chordata; Amphibia; Caudata; Hynobiidae.